This 467-nucleotide ribosomal RNA is filed under the name uncultured bacterium. RNAcentral's name for it is "partial 16S ribosomal RNA". It matches the Rfam family "Bacterial small subunit ribosomal RNA", at positions 28 to 507 of the family's 1533-position model. The record is from RNAcentral.
GAUGAACGCUGGCGGCGUGCUUAACACAUGCAAGUCGAACGGAAAGGCCCAAGCUUGCUUGGGUACUCGAGUGGCGAACGGGUGAGUAACACGUGGGUGAUCUGCCCUGCACUUCGGGAUAAGCCUGGGAAACUGGGUCUAAUACCGGAUAGGACCACAUUUUGGAUGGUGUGGUGGAAAGUUUUUCGGUGUGGGAUGAGCUCGCGGCCUAUCAGCUUGUUGGUGGGGUAAUGGCCUACCAAGGCGUCGACGGGUAGCCGGCCUGAGAGGGUGUACGGCCAGAUUGGGACUGAGAUGCAGGCCAGACUCCUACGGGGGGCAGCAGUGGGGAAGAUUGCACAAUGGGCGCAAGCCUGAUGCAGCGACGCCGCGGGGGGGAUGACGGCCUUCGGGUUGUAAGCUCCUUUCGCUAGGGAAGAAGCGUUUUUGUGACGGUACCUGGAGAAGAAGCACCGGCUAACUACGUG